Molecule: ribosomal RNA, 402 nt
Filed under: uncultured bacterium
Lineage: Bacteria
Description: bacterial SSU rRNA
Rfam family: Bacterial small subunit ribosomal RNA
Source: RNAcentral
UGGGGAAUUUUGGACAAUGGGGGCAACCCUGAUCCAGCCAUGCCGCGUGAGUGAAGAAGGCCUUUGGGUUGUAAAGCUCUUUCGGCCGGGAAGAAAUCGCGCCAGCUAAUACCUGGUGUGGAUGACGGUACCGGAAGAAGAAGCGCCGGCUAACUACGUGCCAGCAGCCGCGGUAAUACGUAGGGUGCGAGCGUUAAUCGGAAUUACUGGGCGUAAAGCGUGCGCAGGCGGCUCUAUAAGACAGAUGUGAAAUCCCCGGGCUUAACCUGGGAACUGCGUUUGUGACUGUAGGGCUUGAGUGCGGCAGAGGGGGUGGAAUUCCACGUGUAGCAGUGAAAUGCGUAGAGAUGUGGAGGAACACCGAUGGCGAAGGCAGCCCCCUGGGUCGACACUGACGCUCAU